AUGAACGCUGGCGGCGUGCCUAAUACAUGCCAGUCGAGCGAACAGACGAGGAGCUUGCUCCUCUGACGUUAGCGGCGGACGGGUGAGUAACACGUGGAUAACCUACCUAUAAGACUGGGAUAACUUCGGGAAACCGGAGCUAAUACCGGAUAAUAUAUUUAACCGCAUGGUUCAAUAGUGAAAGACGGUUUUGCUGUCACUUAUAGAUGGAUCCGCGCCGCAUUAGCUAGUUGGUAAGGUAACGGCUUACCAAGGCAACGAUGCGUAGCCGACCUGAGAGGGUGAUCGGCCACACUGGAACUGAGACACGGUCCAGACUCCUACGGGAGGCAGCAGUAGGGAAUCUUCCGCAAUGGGCGAAAGCCUGACGGAGCAACGCCGCGUGAGUGAUGAAGGUCUUCGGAUCGUAAAACUCUGUUAUUAGGGAAGAACAAAUGUGUAAGUAACUAUGCACGUCUUGACGGUACCUAAUCAGAAAGCCACGGCUAACUACGUG
RNAcentral lists this ribosomal RNA (496 nucleotides) under uncultured bacterium. RNAcentral's name for it is "partial 16S ribosomal RNA". It matches the Rfam family "Bacterial small subunit ribosomal RNA", at positions 29 to 507 of the family's 1533-position model. The record is from RNAcentral.